GCCGGGAUAGCUCAGUUGGUAGAGCAGGG
This 29-nucleotide transfer RNA is filed under the name Leptolejeunea elliptica. RNAcentral's name for it is "partial tRNA-Phe". Lineage: Eukaryota; Viridiplantae; Streptophyta; Jungermanniopsida; Porellales; Lejeuneaceae. RNAcentral also lists the same sequence under 2 other names. The record is from RNAcentral.